This 1311-nucleotide long non-coding RNA is filed under the name Numida meleagris (helmeted guineafowl). Its description in RNAcentral is "lncRNA (ENSNMEG00000010186.1)". Lineage: Eukaryota; Metazoa; Chordata; Aves; Galliformes; Numididae. The record is from RNAcentral.
UCUUUUCCUCUUUUCCUCCUUAGUCCUCCCUGAGAGGAAAGAUUCUCUUGUCUAUCCUCUGUAUCAGCAGAGAAUCAUUCUUAUAAGGAAAAACAACAUGUAAUCAAAAUACAAAGGAUUUUUGCCAGACAUUUGCCUGGGGAAGCUGCCUGUUUAUUGUCAUGGUUUUGUGAUUUUUUUUUGUUGUCGGUAUUCCACAUCAUAACAUCAUGUAAAGCACUGGCAGUUAAAGUGUUAAUGUUCCGGUUCUGUGGGCUGCCGUUUCUGGGUGCUCGGUUUUGGAGGGGAGGAGCUGCACUCCCCAGGGCCCUGUGCGCCUGGAGCGGCUGGUGAAGCCGCCUGGGGGACCGGGAGUUUCUUUGUUUCGUUCGCUGCGGAGAAGUACGUGGUUGCCCUGCAGCUUACAGAGUAAGACUUGGGUUUUGGACUCUCUCACUUUAUUCGACUUGUUGGCCUCAAUUCUGAUAUCAUAUUUAGUAAAUCAACGUUCCUCCUCAGAUUGUUGCUGCUGUUUUGUUUUAGACCCGUGUACUAUUCCCCUACCGUUUCUUCUUUUCCCUUUUUUUUUUACCUCAGAGCGUGGGUCCGCGUGUCUCCUGCCGCGUUAGUCACGGGACCGGGCGGGGCCGGCCCCUAAACCGCCGACAUUUUUUUUUCCGUUCUUUCUUUUCCGGGCCUGCGGGCCUACUCUCACCCUGUGGUGGACAUAGAUGCCGAGAUAACUCCGUGACGCUUAUUUGCUUGAAUACUUGAUUACUUGAGUACAGUCCUUCCAAGACAGGAGAAGGAUGUUCCAGCCAGCCCUGGCUUCCAGUGAUACCAGUUCAAGUCUCAGGACCUGUCUCAGGACAGGGUGGAUCAGGCAUAGCUAUUCCUUUGACGUUUUGUUCCAUAAGUGAAGGUGAAGGGAAGAAAUUCAGUCCCUUCCUUCUGUCUGACUCAUCAUGGUGGAGAAGUUUUGACAUCAGAGUCCAGCCCCCCGGAAACGAAGCGCUGUCGCAGAUGCAGUCUGCCUUUAAAAGUGAGUCAGGUGAUCAUUACGUUUUUUCUCCAAAGGCUGUACACUUCUACUCAAGUCUGAUUGCUACCGUAGGAGCCCAGAUCUUGGGAAUACCUAGCAUACAUUCUUCUGUAGCUCUGCAUGGACUGGAUUUCAUCUAAGACCCAGCUCAGACAGAUCUUAGAUUGGGACCUAUGACAGAUGGAGUUUCCCUGAAACCAUCAUCACAUGUUCACAGAUUAACUGGGUUCAGCUCACAUCUUCUCAGUUCAAUCUGAAAGAGAAAAUAAAAUAUAACAGGUCAGAUUUCA